UACGAACUGUGCAAACGUUAUUCGGAAUCACUGGGCUUACAGGGUGCGUAGGCGGCCUGACAAGUAGGGUGUGAAAGCCCCCGGCUCAACCGGGGAAUGGCAUCUGAUACUGGUGGGCUCGAGGAAGGUAGGGGUGGGCGGAACUCCAGGUGGAGCGGUGAAAUGCGUAGAUAUCUGGAGGAACACCGGUGGCGAAAGCGGCCCACUGGACCUUCUCUGACGCUGAGGUGCGAAAGCUAGGGUAGCAAACGGG
This 253-nucleotide ribosomal RNA is filed under the name uncultured bacterium. Its description in RNAcentral is "partial 16S ribosomal RNA". It matches the Rfam family "Bacterial small subunit ribosomal RNA", at positions 524 to 776 of the family's 1533-position model. The record is from RNAcentral.